RNAcentral lists this ribosomal RNA (253 nucleotides) under uncultured bacterium. RNAcentral describes it as "partial 16S ribosomal RNA". It matches the Rfam family "Bacterial small subunit ribosomal RNA", at positions 524 to 776 of the family's 1533-position model. The record is from RNAcentral.
UACAGAGGUCUCAAGCGUUGUUCGGAUUCAUUGGGCGUAAAGGGUGUGUAGGCGGUUCUUUAAGUUUGGUGUGAAAUCUCCCGGCUCAACUGGGAGUCUGCCGUGGAAACUGCCGUGCUUGAGUGUGGGAGAGGUGAGUGGAAUUCCCGGUGUAGCGGUGAAAUGCGUAGAUAUCAGGAGGAACACCGGUGGUGUAGACGGCUUUCUGGACCGUAACUGACGCUGAGACACGAAAGCGUGGGUAGCAAACAGG